GUUCCGAUGAUGGUGCAUACAGGAGAUCGGACAGUCGGGUGUUUCAUCUGACCGAAAGUUCACCGAUAUUUCUUCAAUAGAGGAAGCAAAAGUCGUAACAAGGUAGCUAUAGAUGAACCUGCAGCUGGAUCAUUU
RNAcentral lists this ribosomal RNA (135 nucleotides) under Trypanosoma lewisi. RNAcentral's name for it is "partial 18S ribosomal RNA". It matches the Rfam family "Eukaryotic small subunit ribosomal RNA", at positions 1682 to 1831 of the family's 1831-position model. The record is from RNAcentral. Lineage: Eukaryota; Euglenozoa; Kinetoplastea; Trypanosomatida; Trypanosomatidae.